This 304-nucleotide ribosomal RNA is filed under the name uncultured bacterium. RNAcentral's name for it is "partial 16S ribosomal RNA". It matches the Rfam family "Bacterial small subunit ribosomal RNA", at positions 506 to 807 of the family's 1533-position model. The record is from RNAcentral.
CAGCAGUCGCCACGGUAAUACGGAGGGUGCAAGCGUUAAUCGGAAUUACUGGGCGUAAAGCGCACGCAGGCGGUUUGUUAAGUCAGAUGUGAAAUCCCCGAGCUUAACUUGGGAACUGCAUUUGAAACUGGCAAGCUAGAGUCUUGUAGAGGGGGGUAGAAUUCCAGGUGUAGCGGUGAAAUGCGUAGAGAUCUGGAGGAAUACCGGUGGCGAAGGCGGCCCCCUGGACAAAGACUGACGCUCAGGUGCGAAAGCGUGGGGAGCAAACAGGAUUAGAUACCCCAGUAGUCCCUGUCUCUUAUAC